Etheostoma cragini (Arkansas darter) is the source of this 97-nucleotide long non-coding RNA. RefSeq lists it as uncharacterized. The transcript is spliced from 3 exons. Lineage: Eukaryota; Metazoa; Chordata; Actinopteri; Perciformes; Percidae. The record is from RefSeq and is a predicted model, not a curated record.
UAAAGUAUGUACUGUACCAGAUAGAGUAAACAUUACUCAAUAGCAUGCAUUGAUUGUUGGCGUGGUGAACAGGUCAGAGGUCGACGACUGACUUCAC